GACGAACGCUGGCGGCGUGCCUAAUACAUGCAAGUCGAACGAACUCUGGUAAUGAUUGGUGCUUGCAUCAUGAAUUACAUUUGAGUGAGUGGCGAACUGGUGAGUAACACGUGGGAAACCUGCCCAGAAGCGGGGGAUAACACCUGGAAACAGAUGCUAAUACCGCACAACAACUUGGACCGCAUGGUCCGAGUCUGAAAGAUGGCUUCGGCUGUCACUUUUGGAUGGUCCCGCGGCGUAUUAGCUAGAUGGUGAGGUAACGGCUCACCAUGGCAAUGAUACGUAGCCGACCGGAGAGGGUAAUCGGCCAAAUUGGGACUGAGACACGGCCCAAACACCUACGGGAGGCAGCAGUAGGGAAUCUUCCACAAUGGACGAAAGUCUGAUGGAGCAACGCCGCGUGAGUGAAGAAGGGUUUCGGCUCGUAAAACUCUGUUGUUAAAGAAGAACAUAUCUGAGAGUAACUGUUCAGGUAUUGACGGUAUUAACCAGAAAGCCACGGCUAACUACGUGCCAGCAGCCGCCGUAA
This 529-nucleotide ribosomal RNA is filed under the name uncultured bacterium. RNAcentral's name for it is "partial 16S ribosomal RNA". It matches the Rfam family "Bacterial small subunit ribosomal RNA", at positions 28 to 523 of the family's 1533-position model. The record is from RNAcentral.